This 1554-nucleotide ribosomal RNA is filed under the name Klebsiella pneumoniae. RNAcentral's name for it is "bacterial SSU rRNA". It matches the Rfam family "Bacterial small subunit ribosomal RNA". Lineage: Bacteria; Pseudomonadati; Pseudomonadota; Gammaproteobacteria; Enterobacterales; Enterobacteriaceae. The record is from RNAcentral.
ACUUAAAUUGAAGAGUUUGAUCAUGGCUCAGAUUGAACGCUGGCGGCAGGCCUAACACAUGCAAGUCGAGCGGUAGCACAGAGAGCUUGCUCUCGGGUGACGAGCGGCGGACGGGUGAGUAAUGUCUGGGAAACUGCCUGAUGGAGGGGGAUAACUACUGGAAACGGUAGCUAAUACCGCAUAACGUCGCAAGACCAAAGUGGGGGACCUUCGGGCCUCAUGCCAUCAGAUGUGCCCAGAUGGGAUUAGCUAGUAGGUGGGGUAAUGGCUCACCUAGGCGACGAUCCCUAGCUGGUCUGAGAGGAUGACCAGCCACACUGGAACUGAGACACGGUCCAGACUCCUACGGGAGGCAGCAGUGGGGAAUAUUGCACAAUGGGCGCAAGCCUGAUGCAGCCAUGCCGCGUGUGUGAAGAAGGCCUUCGGGUUGUAAAGCACUUUCAGCGGGGAGGAAGGCGUUAAGGUUAAUAACCUUGGCGAUUGACGUUACCCGCAGAAGAAGCACCGGCUAACUCCGUGCCAGCAGCCGCGGUAAUACGGAGGGUGCAAGCGUUAAUCGGAAUUACUGGGCGUAAAGCGCACGCAGGUGGUCUGUCAAGUCGGAUGUGAAAUCCCCGGGCUCAACCUGGGAACUGCAUUCGAAACUGGCAGGCUAGAGUCUUGUAGAGGGGGGUAGAAUUCCAGGUGUAGCGGUGAAAUGCGUAGAGAUCUGGAGGAAUACCGGUGGCGAAGGCGGCCCCCUGGACAAAGACUGACGCUCAGGUGCGAAAGCGUGGGGAGCAAACAGGAUUAGAUACCCUGGUAGUCCACGCCGUAAACGAUGUCGAUUUGGAGGUUGUGCCCUUGAGGCGUGGCUUCCGGAGCUAACGCGUUAAAUCGACCGCCUGGGGAGUACGGCCGCAAGGUUAAAACUCAAAUGAAUUGACGGGGGCCCGCACAAGCGGUGGAGCAUGUGGUUUAAUUCGAUGCAACGCGAAGAACCUUACCUGGUCUUGACAUCCACAGAACUUUCCAGAGAUGGAUUGGUGCCUUCGGGAACUGUGAGACAGGUGCUGCAUGGCUGUCGUCAGCUCGUGUUGUGAAAUGUUGGGUUAAGUCCCGCAACGAGCGCAACCCUUAUCCUUUGUUGCCAGCGGUCCGGCCGGGAACUCAAAGGAGACUGCCAGUGAUAAACUGGAGGAAGGUGGGGAUGACGUCAAGUCAUCAUGGCCCUUACGACCAGGGCUACACACGUGCUACAAUGGCAUAUACAAAGAGAAGCGACCUCGCGAGAGCAAGCGGACCUCAUAAAGUAUGUCGUAGUCCGGAUUGGAGUCUGCAACUCGACUCCAUGAAGUCGGAAUCGCUAGUAAUCGUAGAUCAGAAUGCUACGGUGAAUACGUUCCCGGGCCUUGUACACACCGCCCGUCACACCAUGGGAGUGGGUUGCAAAAGAAGUAGGUAGCUUAACCUUCGGGAGGGCGCUUACCACUUUGUGAUUCAUGACUGGGGUGAAGUCGUAACAAGGUAACCGUAGGGGAACCUGCGGUUGGAUCACCUCCUUACCUUAAAGAA